This 1536-nucleotide ribosomal RNA is filed under the name Enterobacter cloacae. RNAcentral describes it as "bacterial SSU rRNA". It matches the Rfam family "Bacterial small subunit ribosomal RNA". The record is from RNAcentral. RNAcentral also lists the same sequence under 1 other name. Lineage: Bacteria; Pseudomonadati; Pseudomonadota; Gammaproteobacteria; Enterobacterales; Enterobacteriaceae.
UUGAAGAGUUUGAUCAUGGCUCAGAUUGAACGCUGGCGGCAGGCCUAACACAUGCAAGUCGAACGGUAGCACAGAGAGCUUGCUCUCGGGUGACGAGUGGCGGACGGGUGAGUAAUGUCUGGGAAACUGCCUGAUGGAGGGGGAUAACUACUGGAAACGGUAGCUAAUACCGCAUAACGUCGCAAGACCAAAGAGGGGGACCUUCGGGCCUCUUGCCAUCAGAUGUGCCCAGAUGGGAUUAGCUAGUAGGUGGGGUAACGGCUCACCUAGGCGACGAUCCCUAGCUGGUCUGAGAGGAUGACCAGCCACACUGGAACUGAGACACGGUCCAGACUCCUACGGGAGGCAGCAGUGGGGAAUAUUGCACAAUGGGCGCAAGCCUGAUGCAGCCAUGCCGCGUGUAUGAAGAAGGCCUUCGGGUUGUAAAGUACUUUCAGCGGGGAGGAAGGUGUUGUGGUUAAUAACCGCAGCAAUUGACGUUACCCGCAGAAGAAGCACCGGCUAACUCCGUGCCAGCAGCCGCGGUAAUACGGAGGGUGCAAGCGUUAAUCGGAAUUACUGGGCGUAAAGCGCACGCAGGCGGUCUGUCAAGUCGGAUGUGAAAUCCCCGGGCUCAACCUGGGAACUGCAUUCGAAACUGGCAGGCUAGAGUCUUGUAGAGGGGGGUAGAAUUCCAGGUGUAGCGGUGAAAUGCGUAGAGAUCUGGAGGAAUACCGGUGGCGAAGGCGGCCCCCUGGACAAAGACUGACGCUCAGGUGCGAAAGCGUGGGGAGCAAACAGGAUUAGAUACCCUGGUAGUCCACGCCGUAAACGAUGUCGACUUGGAGGUUGUGCCCUUGAGGCGUGGCUUCCGGAGCUAACGCGUUAAGUCGACCGCCUGGGGAGUACGGCCGCAAGGUUAAAACUCAAAUGAAUUGACGGGGGCCCGCACAAGCGGUGGAGCAUGUGGUUUAAUUCGAUGCAACGCGAAGAACCUUACCUACUCUUGACAUCCAGAGAACUUUCCAGAGAUGGAUUGGUGCCUUCGGGAACUCUGAGACAGGUGCUGCAUGGCUGUCGUCAGCUCGUGUUGUGAAAUGUUGGGUUAAGUCCCGCAACGAGCGCAACCCUUAUCCUUUGUUGCCAGCGGUUAGGCCGGGAACUCAAAGGAGACUGCCAGUGAUAAACUGGAGGAAGGUGGGGAUGACGUCAAGUCAUCAUGGCCCUUACGAGUAGGGCUACACACGUGCUACAAUGGCGCAUACAAAGAGAAGCGACCUCGCGAGAGCAAGCGGACCUCAUAAAGUGCGUCGUAGUCCGGAUUGGAGUCUGCAACUCGACUCCAUGAAGUCGGAAUCGCUAGUAAUCGUAGAUCAGAAUGCUACGGUGAAUACGUUCCCGGGCCUUGUACACACCGCCCGUCACACCAUGGGAGUGGGUUGCAAAAGAAGUAGGUAGCUUAACCUUCGGGAGGGCGCUUACCACUUUGUGAUUCAUGACUGGGGUGAAGUCGUAACAAGGUAACCGUAGGGGAACCUGCGGUUGGAUCACCUCCUU